AGUGGCUUAAAUGGUUAAGUGCUUGGCUCUUAACCAAAAGGCUGGUGGUUCAAACCUCCCU
This 61-nucleotide transfer RNA is filed under the name Loxodonta africana (African savanna elephant). It matches the Rfam family "tRNA", at positions 6 to 65 of the family's 71-position model. Rfam says of the family: Transfer RNA (tRNA) molecules are approximately 80 nucleotides in length. Their secondary structure includes four short double-helical elements and three loops (D, anti-codon, and T loops). The record is from Rfam by way of RNAcentral. Lineage: Eukaryota; Metazoa; Chordata; Mammalia; Proboscidea; Elephantidae.